Molecule: ribosomal RNA, 200 nt
Filed under: uncultured bacterium
Lineage: Bacteria
Description: partial 16S ribosomal RNA
Rfam family: Bacterial small subunit ribosomal RNA
Source: RNAcentral
GAUGAACGCUAGCGGCAGGCUUAAUACAUGCAAGUCGAGGGGCAGCGCAGUGUAGCAAUACAUGGGCGGCGACCGGCAAACGGGUGCGGAACACGUACGCAACCUUCCUUCAAAUGGGGAAUAGCCUUUCGAAAGAGAGAUUAAUACCCCGUAAAAUUUUCUGGUGGCAUCACCGGAUUAUUAUAGCUCCGGCGUUUGAA